GUGAGCCGUGUGAUGGGAAAUCUUCCCGCACGGUUCAGAGAGCACUGAAUUAGAAUGAGAUGUUUACCACCACAUCAUUGCAUGCAAGGGGAGUUCGUUGAUUCACAGAUUGGUCCGACUCGUAGUUCACUUCUGACCCCGU
Nicotiana sylvestris (wood tobacco) is the source of this 142-nucleotide non-coding RNA. Lineage: Eukaryota; Viridiplantae; Streptophyta; Magnoliopsida; Solanales; Solanaceae. The record is from Rfam.